RNAcentral lists this ribosomal RNA (1440 nucleotides) under metagenome. Its description in RNAcentral is "bacterial SSU rRNA". The stretch from base 502 to 1440 matches the Rfam family "Bacterial small subunit ribosomal RNA". The record is from RNAcentral.
ACAUCACACUCAUAUAUCCGCCUACGCGCCCUUUACGCCCAGUAAAUCCGAUUAACGCUCGCACCCUCUGUAUUACCGCGGCUGCUGGCACAGAGUUUGCCGGUGCUUAUUCUGCUGGUACCGUCAAAUUACUAGGAUUAUCCCCUAAUAACCUUCUUCCCAACCUAAAGAGCUUUACGACCCGAGGGCCUUCUUCACUCACGCGGCAUCGCUGGAUCAGGGUUGCCCCCAUUGUCCAAUAUUCCCCACUGCUGCCUCCCGUAGGAGUCUGGGCCGUGUCUCAGUCCCAGUGUGACUGGCCGUCCUCUCAGACCAGUUACCGAUUAUCGCCUUGGUAGGCUCUUACCCCACCAACUAGCUAAUCGGACGCAGGCCCCUCCUUCAGUGCCACCUUACGGCAGCUUUACUCCUCAGAGAUUAUGCGGUAUUAGCUAAAGUUUCCCUUAGUUAUCCCCCUCUGAAGGGCAGGUUCCUACGUGUUCCUCACCCGUCCGCCGCUCGUCAGCAACUAGUAUUGCUACUAGUCCUGCUACCGCUCGACUUGCAUGUGUUAGGCGUGCCGCCAGCGUUCAAUCUGAGCCAUGAUCAAACUCUAAGAGGCAUCACUGAUUUGACCAAUGGAUGAGUCUGGGUGGAGAGAUCGGAAGGAACGUCGAUGGCGAAGGCAGCCACCUGGCAUCAUACUGACGCUGAGGCGCGAAAGCGUGGGGAGCGAACAGGAUUAGAUACCCUGGUAGUCCACGCUGUAAACGAUGAGAACUAAAUGUUAGUAGGGGAACCUAUUAGUAUUGAAGCUAACGCGAUAAGUUCUCCGCCUGGGAAGUACGGCCGCAAGGUUGAAACUCAAAUGAAUUGACGGGGGCCCGCACAAGCGGUGGAGCAUGUGGUUUAAUUCGAUGCAACGCGAAGAACCUUACCUACCCUUGACAUCCUGCGAAUCCUGAUGAGAGUUGGGAGUGCCGAAAGGAGCGCAGAGACAGGUGCUGCAUGGCUGUCGUCAGCUCGUGUUGUGAGAUGUUGGGUUAAGUCCCGUAACGAGCGCAACCCUUGUCCUUAGUUGCCAUCAUUAAGUUGGGGACUCUAAGGAGACUGCCGGUGAUGAACCGGAGGAAGGCGGGGACGACGUCAAGUCAUCAUGGCCUUUAUGGGUAGGGCUACACACGUGCUACAAUGGGGCGUACAGAGGGUCGCGAAGCCGCGAGGUGGAGCAAAUCUCAUAAAGCGUCUCGUAGUCCGGAUCGGAGUCUGCAACUCGACUCCGUGAAGUCGGAAUCGCUAGUAAUCGCGAAUCAGCAUUGUCGCGGUGAAUACGUUCCCGGGCCUUGUACACACCGCCCGUCACGUCAUGGAAGUGGAUGGUACCAGAAGCGGGUAGAUUAACCGAAAGGGAGUCGCUUGCCACGGUAUGAUUCAUGACUGGGACGAAGUCGUAACAAGGUA